This 385-nucleotide small RNA is filed under the name Pongo abelii (Sumatran orangutan). RNAcentral's name for it is "retained intron". Lineage: Eukaryota; Metazoa; Chordata; Mammalia; Primates; Hominidae. The record is from RNAcentral.
AGUUAUCUGGGUGUCUUAUUACGACUCCUUUACCCUCCUCCUUUGCUAAGGACUGGGAGACUUCUCCACUGCCUGGGAUGCUGGCCCCGGCAGCUGCCCCUGCCUUUGACAGUGACCCUGAGAUCUCCGACGUGGAUGAAGAUGAGCCAGGGGGUCUGGUGGGCUCUGCGGACGUUGUCUCCCCCAGCGGCCACUCAGAUGCCCAGACCCUAGCCAUGAUGCUACAGGAGCAGCUGGAUGCCAUCAAUGAGGAAAUCAGGAUGAUUCAGGAAGAGAAGGAGUCCACGGAGCUCCGCGCGGAGGAGAUUGAGACGCGUGUAACCAGCGGCAGCAUGGAGGCCCUAAACCUGAAGCAGCUGCGCAAGCGUGGUUCCAUCCCCACCUC